CACACAAGUUGGUUGGUGAGUAAGAAAUUAAAACAUGCCUAUGACAGGAAACAAAGUGGGAGCAUUGGUUACGGCGGUUCUAGGAAUACUACUAGUUAUAGCAGAAUUAAGAAAUGGGUUGAGCUUGUGUAACAUGAAGGAAGAUGGACUAACGGCGUGUAAGCCAUCAGUAACAAAGCCAAAUCCGGUGGAGCCAUCUGCUUCUUGCUGUGAAGCCUUGUCUGGCGCAGAUUUGCAGUGCUUGUGUUCUUAUAGGAAUUCACUCUUAUUGCCCUCUCUUGGAAUUGAUCCUGAACUUGCCUUGGCUCUUCCUCCUAAAUGCAAUCUCACUUCUCCUGCUAACUGUUAAAAAUAUAAAGCUGUCUGCAAAAUGGCUGAUUUAGAAGAGAGGAGACAGAGAUGAUACCAACUCUCCUAAUGUAUUUCUAAGUUUGAUUUUCCAUGUACUCUAUUAAAUAGAAAAUAAAGUAAUCACCAGUAAAUUUGUGAUA
Long non-coding RNA from Nicotiana attenuata, 491 nucleotides. RefSeq lists it as uncharacterized. The record is from RefSeq and is a predicted model, not a curated record. The transcript is spliced from 2 exons. NCBI's taxonomy places the organism in Eukaryota, Viridiplantae, Streptophyta, Magnoliopsida, Solanales, Solanaceae.